Non-coding RNA from Manis pentadactyla (Chinese pangolin), 72 nucleotides. NCBI's taxonomy places the organism in Eukaryota, Metazoa, Chordata, Mammalia, Pholidota, Manidae. The record is from the annotation of a RefSeq genome assembly.
GCAUUGGUGAUAUAGUGGUUAUCACAGCUGCCUUGUAAGCAGUUGGCCUGGGUUCGAUUCCCAGCCAACACA